GUCGAUGCACUCCCUCUUCUUCCCUUCAAAAUCAACACUUAAAUUAUUAUUAUUACUAUGAUUAUGAUUAUGAAUAUGAAUAUUAUUAUUAUUAUUAUUAUUAUUAUUAUUAU
Populus euphratica (Euphrates poplar) is the source of this 113-nucleotide long non-coding RNA. RefSeq lists it as uncharacterized. The record is from RefSeq and is a predicted model, not a curated record. The transcript is spliced from 3 exons. Lineage: Eukaryota; Viridiplantae; Streptophyta; Magnoliopsida; Malpighiales; Salicaceae.